GGCUUCUUCGGCAGGCCGGAUCCUAACAAUUGGAAGGAUACAGAGAAGGUUAGCAUGGCUCCUGAGCAAGGGUGACGCGAAAAUUUGUGAAGCGUUCCAUUAAGAG
This is a small nuclear RNA of Peromyscus californicus insignis, 106 nucleotides long. The record is from RefSeq and is a predicted model, not a curated record. Lineage: Eukaryota; Metazoa; Chordata; Mammalia; Rodentia; Cricetidae.